AUUGAACGCUGGCGGCAGGCCUAACACAUGCAAGUCGAGCGGAUGAAGGGAGCUUGCUCCUGGAUUCAGCGGCGGACGGGUGAGUAAUGCCUAGGAAUCUGCCUGGUAGUGGGGGAUAACGUCCGGAAACGGGCGCUAAUACCGCAUACGUCCUGAGGGAGAAAGUGGGGGAUCUUCGGACCUCACGCUAUCAGAUGAGCCUAGGUCGGAUUAGCUAGUUGGUGGGGUAAAGGCCUACCAAGGCGACGAUCCGUAACUGGUCUGAGAGGAUGAUCAGUCACACUGGAACUGAGACACGGUCCAGACUCCUACGGGAGGCAGCAGUGGGGAAUAUUGGACAAUGGGCGAAAGCCUGAUCCAGCCAUGCCGCGUGUGUGAAGAAGGGCUUCGGAUUGUAAAGCACUUUAAGUUGGGAGGAAGGGCAGUAAGUUAAUACCUUGCUGUUUUGACGUUACCAACAGAAUAAGCACCGGCUAACUUCGU
Molecule: ribosomal RNA, 483 nt
Filed under: uncultured bacterium
Lineage: Bacteria
Description: partial 16S ribosomal RNA
Rfam family: Bacterial small subunit ribosomal RNA
Source: RNAcentral